Molecule: ribosomal RNA, 1031 nt
Filed under: Alternaria gaisen
Lineage: Eukaryota; Fungi; Ascomycota; Dothideomycetes; Pleosporales; Pleosporaceae
Description: SSU rRNA
Rfam family: Eukaryotic small subunit ribosomal RNA
Source: RNAcentral
UCUAGUAUAAGCAUUAUACCGUGAAACUGCGAAUGGCUCAUUAAAUCAGUUAUCGUUUAUUUGAUAAUACCUUACUACUUGGAUAACCGUGGUAAUUCUAGAGCUAAUACAUGCUGAAAAUCCCGACUUCGGAAGGGAUGUGUUUAUUAGAUAAAAAACCAAUGCCCUUCGGGGCUUUUUGGUGAUUCAUGAUAACUUUACGGAUCGCAUAGCCUUGCGCUGGCGACGGUUCAUUCAAAUUUCUGCCCUAUCAACUUUCGAUGGUAAGGUAUUGGCUUACCAUGGUUUCAACGGGUAACGGGGAAUUAGGGUUCGAUUCCGGAGAGGGAGCCUGAGAAACGGCUACCACAUCCAAGGAAGGCAGCAGGCGCGCAAAUUACCCAAUCCCGACACGGGGAGGUAGUGACAAUAAAUACUGAUACAGGGCUCUUUUGGGUCUUGUAAUUGGAAUGAGUACAAUUUAAACCUCUUAACGAGGAACAAUUGGAGGGCAAGUCUGGUGCCAGCAGCCGCGGUAAUUCCAGCUCCAAUAGCGUAUAUUAAAGUUGUUGCAGUUAAAAAGCUCGUAGUUGAAACUUGGGCCUGGCUGGCGGGUCCGCCUCACCGCGUGCACUCGUCCGGCCGGGCCUUCCUUCUGAAGAACCUCAUGCCCUUCACUGGGCGUGCUGGGGAAUCAGGACUUUUACUUUGAAAAAAUUAGAGUGUUCAAAGCAGGCCUUUGCUCGAAUACGUUAGCAUGGAAUAAUAAAAUAGGGCGUGCGUUUCUAUUUUGUUGGUUUCUAGAGACGCCGCAAUGAUUAACAGGAACAGUCGGGGGCAUCAGUAUUCAGUUGUCAGAGGUGAAAUUCUUGGAUUUACUGAAGACUAACUACUGCGAAAGCAUUUGCCAAGGAUGUUUUCAUUAAUCAGUGAACGAAAGUUAGGGGAUCGAAGACGAUCAGAUACCGUCGUAGUCUUAACCGUAAACUAUGCCGACUAGGGAUCGGGCGAUGUUCUUUUUCUGACUCGCUCGGCACCUUACGAGAAAUCAA